This 1645-nucleotide ribosomal RNA is filed under the name Salmonella enterica. RNAcentral describes it as "partial 23S ribosomal RNA". It matches the Rfam family "Bacterial large subunit ribosomal RNA", at positions 1213 to 2835 of the family's 2925-position model. The record is from RNAcentral. RNAcentral also lists the same sequence under 1 other name. Lineage: Bacteria; Pseudomonadati; Pseudomonadota; Gammaproteobacteria; Enterobacterales; Enterobacteriaceae.
GCUGAUGCGUUGUUGGGUAGGGGAGCGUUCUGUAAGCCUGCGAAGGUGACCUGUGAGGGUUGCUGGAGGUAUCAGAAGUGCGAAUGCUGACAUAAGUAACGAUAAAGCGGGUGAAAAGCCCGCUCGCCGGAAGACCAAGGGUUCCUGUCCAACGUUAAUCGGGGCAGGGUGAGUCGACCCCUAAGGCGAGGCCGAAAGGCGUAGUCGAUGGGAAACGGGUUAAUAUUCCCGUACUUGGUGUUACUGCGAAGGGGGGACGGAGAAGGCUAUGUUGGCCGGGCGACGGUUGUCCCGGUUUAAGCGUGUAGGUGUGUGUUCCAGGUAAAUCCGGUUCACUUUAACACUGAGGCGUGAUGACGAGGCACUACGGUGCUGAAGCAACAAAUGCCCUGCUUCCAGGAAAAGCCUCUAAGCAUCAGGUAACAUCAAAUCGUACCCCAAACCGACACAGGUGGUCAGGUAGAGAAUACCAAGGCGCUUGAGAGAACUCGGGUGAAGGAACUAGGCAAAAUGGUGCCGUAACUUCGGGAGAAGGCACGCUGACACGUAGGUGAAGUGAUUUACUCACGGAGCUGAAGUCAGUCGAAGAUACCAGCUGGCUGCAACUGUUUAUUAAAAACACAGCACUGUGCAAACACGAAAGUGGACGUAUACGGUGUGACGCCUGCCCGGUGCCGGAAGGUUAAUUGAUGGGGUCAGCGCAAGCGAAGCUCCUGAUCGAAGCCCCGGUAAACGGCGGCCGUAACUAUAACGGUCCUAAGGUAGCGAAAUUCCUUGUCGGGUAAGUUCCGACCUGCACGAAUGGCGUAAUGAUGGCCAGGCUGUCUCCACCCGAGACUCAGUGAAAUUGAACUCGCUGUGAAGAUGCAGUGUACCCGCGGCAAGACGGAAAGACCCCGUGAACCUUUACUAUAGCUUGACACUGAACAUUGAGCCUUGAUGUGUAGGAUAGGUGGGAGGCUUUGAAGUGUGGACGCCAGUCUGCAUGGAGCCGACCUUGAAAUACCACCCUUUAAUGUUUGAUGUUCUAACGUGGACCCGUAAUCCGGGUUGCGGACAGUGUCUGGUGGGUAGUUUGACUGGGGCGGUCUCCUCCUAAAGAGUAACGGAGGAGCACGAAGGUUGGCUAAUCCUGGUCGGACAUCAGGAGGUUAGUGCAAUGGCAUAAGCCAGCUUGACUGCGAGCGUGACGGCGCGAGCAGGUGCGAAAGCAGGUCAUAGUGAUCCGGUGGUUCUGAAUGGAAGGGCCAUCGCUCAACGGAUAAAAGGUACUCCGGGGAUAACAGGCUGAUACCGCCCAAGAGUUCAUAUCGACGGCGGUGUUUGGCACCUCGAUGUCGGCUCAUCACAUCCUGGGGCUGAAGUAGGUCCCAAGGGUAUGGCUGUUCGCCAUUUAAAGUGGUACGCGAGCUGGGUUUAGAACGUCGUGAGACAGUUCGGUCCCUAUCUGCCGUGGGCGCUGGAGAACUGAGGGGGGCUGCUCCUAGUACGAGAGGACCGGAGUGGACGCAUCACUGGUGUUCGGGUUGUCAUGCCAAUGGCACUGCCCGGUAGCUAAAUGCGGAAGAGAUAAGUGCUGAAAGCAUCUAAGCACGAAACUUGCCCCGAGAUGAGUUCUCCCUGAGACUUAGAGUCUCCUGAAGGA